Molecule: ribosomal RNA, 219 nt
Filed under: uncultured bacterium
Lineage: Bacteria
Description: partial 16S ribosomal RNA
Rfam family: Bacterial small subunit ribosomal RNA
Source: RNAcentral
GAUGAACGCUGGCGGCGUGCUUAACACAUGCAAGUCGAACGAUGAUCUCCAGCUUGCUGGGGGGAUUAGUGGCGAACGGGUGAGUAACACGUGAGUAACCUGCCCUUAACUCUGGGAUAAGCCUGGGAAACUGGGUCUAAUACCGGAUAUGACUUGUCAACCGCAUGGUGGUGGGUGGAAAAGUCUUUUUGGUGGUUUUGGAUGGACUCGCGGCCUAUC